This 496-nucleotide ribosomal RNA is filed under the name uncultured bacterium. RNAcentral's name for it is "partial 16S ribosomal RNA". It matches the Rfam family "Bacterial small subunit ribosomal RNA", at positions 28 to 506 of the family's 1533-position model. The record is from RNAcentral.
GAUGAACGCUGGCGGCGUGCCUAAUACAUGCAAGUCGAGCGAACGGACGAGAAGCUUGCUUCUCUGAUGUUAGCGGCGGACGGGUGAGUAACACGUGGAUAACCUACCUAUAAGACUGGGAUAACUUCGGGAAACCGGAGCUAAUACCGGAUAAUAUUUUGAACCGCAUGGUUCAAAAGUGAAAGACGGUCUUGCUGUCACUUAUAGAUGGAUCCGCGCUGCAUUAGCUAGUUGGUAAGGUAACGGCUUACCAAGGCAACGAUGCAUAGCCGACCUGAGAGGGGGUCCGGCAACAGUGGAAAUGAGACGCGGUCCAGGCCCCGACGGGAGGCACAAGGAGGGAAUUUUGCCAAAUGGGGGAAAGCCUGAACGAGCAACUGCGGGGGGAUGAAGUAGGUCUGCGGAUCGGAAAACGUUUUUAUUGGGGAAAAACAUAUGGGUAAGUAACUGUGCACAUCUUAACGGUACCUAAACAGAAAGCCACGCCAAACUCCGG